Diceros bicornis minor is the source of this 598-nucleotide long non-coding RNA. RefSeq lists it as uncharacterized. The transcript has 3 exons. NCBI's taxonomy places the organism in Eukaryota, Metazoa, Chordata, Mammalia, Perissodactyla, Rhinocerotidae. The record is from RefSeq and is a predicted model, not a curated record.
CUCGCGACAGGCGCUUGGAGAGCGUCACCGAGCUUGCGCAGUCGACCGACGUGCCUCCGGCUGCCGCCAGGACCCAGGGACUGGGCGGGGAGAGGCCAGGGCCUGCUCUUCCCCGGCUCCGACCGGCAUGUUUUCCCUCUGUGCCCGGGUUGGAAUGAGCUCGUGGCGUGGGCGGAGCUCCGGUCGUGCAGUUCUAGGGUAAGCCAGCUGCCGUCUUGUGAGGAGAGGUCCACGUGGUGAGAAACUGAGGACUCCAGCCAACAAGUAAAGACCUGAGGCCACCUGCUAACAACCACCUGAGUGACUUUGAAGGAUCCUCUAGCCCCAGGCAAGCCUUCAGACGACUGUAAUGCCAGCUGACUUCUGGACUGCAACCUCAUGAAAGACCCAGAGCCACCCAGUUAAGCACUUCCAAAUUCCUAAUGCACAGAAUCCAUGAGAUAAUACAUGCUUGUUGUUUUAAUCCACUAAGUGUUAAGAUUGGAGAAUAUCCCUUGGCUGAAGCACUCACCCCAGAACUCUUCCUUCAUCACCCACUUGCCAUGGAAAGGCAUGAGAGGGAUCUGUGAAUAUUCUAAAGUGUGUAUAAAAUGGCAUG